RNAcentral lists this long non-coding RNA (4293 nucleotides) under Delphinapterus leucas (beluga whale). RNAcentral describes it as "lncRNA (ENSDLEG00000014300.1)". The record is from RNAcentral. Lineage: Eukaryota; Metazoa; Chordata; Mammalia; Artiodactyla; Monodontidae.
AAGGAAACUCGCUCCCUUUUCCACCCUCCCUGAGGCCUCCUGCCCACCAGCCUGCAGACAGCUUGGCGUGGAAAUCUCCACGGGUAGGGACUCGCUGACCCUCCUUCCCUUCUGUAUCUGUAGUGUGUGGGAGGUUCUUGUCACACCCUGUGAAAUAGAUUUUGUUGUUUCAUAUUCUAUGUAAGAAGAAUUCGAGGCUUCAGAGACGUUAAGGGACUUGCUCAGGGUCAUGUAGCCAGUCGGUAGCAGAGGCAGGAUUUAUAGUCCCUGCUUGCUAGGAGAGUGCUGGAUUCAAACCUCCGCCACCUGUGAGGCUAGGGUAGAGCCAGGAUUUGGGAACCUUGCCCUUCCGCGUUGUCCCUCCCCCUCGGCCCUCGGCCCGCCCUCGGGGGGGGGGGCGCGGGCGGGGAAGCCGGAUCCUAGCAUCACUCGGGGGCUAAGUGCAGCACCUAACCGGGCACCCGUAAUCCUGAGGCCUGCUCGCUAGCGACCUCCGGAGGGCUGGGCCGGUUUGGGGUGCGGUGUGGCGAGGGGACCCACCCCGUCUUCCCGACUAUUUGCAUAACGGAGACGGCUCGUUUCCCCCGCCCCUUCGCCGCACUCUUCUUCCCUCCUUCCCGCGUCCGCGCCACCCCUCAUCCCCUGUCCCCCCGCUCCUCCCCAAAGACCCUCCUUCAGGUACUGUUGCGUUGGGGGUCCCAGCUCCCGGGCUCUCUGGCCGCCACCGGGCGAGGAGUCCGGAGGCAUCCGGGGGAGGGGAGUCCCGCGCAGGGCCGGGCUGGAGAAAACGCCUGGGGCACUGCCCCGCGCUAACAAAGGGAACCCGCUGCCUGCCGGCUGGGGCGUGGAGCUGGCUGAGCUGCCGCAGCUUCGGCGGCCGAGAGCGCAGCGAGGCCUCGCAACCCCAUCACCUGAUCUUGUGCAUGGCAUUUGCUUCUCAUAUUGUGCCCACUACCUUUCCUUUAAGGGAACUGGGUCUACCACCAGUUCCCUUAUUUAUGGGUGAGUUGCUUUCAUUUGUUUGUUUAUUUAUAUUGACGUAUAGUUGAUUUACGAUGUUGUAUUAGUUCUGGUGUAUAGCAGAGUGAUUCAUCUAUAUGUGUAUAUAUAUAUAUAUAUAUAUAUAUCCUUUUUCAUAUUCUUUUCCAUUAUGGUUUCUUAGAGGAUAUUGAAUAUAGUUCCCUAUGCUAUACAGUAAGACCUUGUUAUUUAUCUAUUUUAUAUAUAGUAGUUUGUAUCUGCUAAUCCCAAACUCCUAAUUUAUCCCUCCCUCCCUCAGCCUCCUUUCCUCAUUUUCUUUUUUUGCGGUACGCGGGCCUCUCACUGUUGUGGCCUCUCCCGUUGCGGAGCACAGGCUCCGGACGCGCAGGCUCAGUGGCCAUGGCUCACGGGCCCAGCCGCUCCGCGGCAUGUGGGAUCUUCCCCGACCGGGGCACGAACCCGUGUGCCCUGCAUCGGCAGGCAGACUCUCAACCACUGUGCCACCAGGGAAGCCCAUUCUGCCCAUUUUUUGAUUGGGUUUUAUUUUUUGUUCUUGUUGUUGUUGUUAUUGAAUUGUAUGAGCUGUUUAUGUAUUUUGGAAAUUAAGCCUUUGUUGGUCACAUCGUUUGCAAAUAUUUUCGCCCAGUCCAUAGGUUGUCUUUUCCUUUUGUUUAUGGUUGCCUUUGCUGUGCAAAAGCUUAUAAGUUUGAUUAGGUCCCAUUUGUUUAUUUUUGCUUUUAUUUCUAUUGCCUUGGGAGACUGACCUAAGAAAACAUUGCUAUCAUUUAUGUCAGAGAAUGUUUUGCCUAUGUUCUCUUCUAGGAGUUUUAUGGUGUCAUGUCUUAUAUUUAAGUCUUUAAGCCAUUCUGAGUUUAUUUUUGUGUAUGGUGUGAGGGAGUGUUCUAAUUUCAUUGAUUUAUGUGUGUCUGUCCAGCUUUCCCAACACCACUUAAUGAAGAGACUGUCUUUUCUCCAUUGUACACUGAGUUGCUUUUAGGUCAGAAUUCCACCCUUUGUCCAUAAGCAGAAGCCCAAGUGUGUGAGUGGGUGGGGUAGCAGCAGGGUAGGCAGGUAGAAUGACUUGCCUAUUUGAGUAAUAUUGGAGGUCUACAAGCCAUCUUCCAAAGGAUUUAAAAAACACUAAUGGGACCCUGCAUUUCCUCAUUAGUCUGCAGAUUUCUGUGUGGCUGGAGUGCACGGUACAUGGGGUGGAGUGGUGGUGGGGGGAGCAGCUGGGAAGGAACAUGAGAUUUGGGUCCCCAGGGUCUUUGCCUGGGUCACAGGGCCACAGAAAUCCAUUCAGUCUGUUUAGACAAAUUACUCGGUGAACUAUCCAUUUCUCACUGAAGGUUUGGCCUAGAGCAAAAGGCAGAGGCUGGCUAGAGAGAGAUGGAGAGUGGGGACCUGCUUUGUGUUAAUGAGGCAGGUGGGUCACCAGCCCCGUAGUCCCCCCAUCCCGGGGGCACUUUGCUCCUCUUCUCUGGGGAAGGCUCUUUACUGGCAGCCUCCCACGUGGCCACCAGCUCAGCUCUGUUUGCAGGUAGAGACCUCUUCCUGGCCUGGCCCACUUUCCCCACAGUGACUCUGGCUCCUGGUGUUUUGCUGGCAUUAAUUAUAGACAGCAGCAAAGUGCCCAGAUGCCACAAGUGACUUUUUAUUUUUCCAUCUCACCUGAUGCCUUUGUUGUUUGCUCUAUUCUGCCCUGAAUCUUUGUGAAAUCUUAACAUUUGCAACCCCUCAAAUGGCUCACUUCACCUUUAGUUUCAUCUGAUGUCAGUUCCCGUAAGCAUCUGUGGUCUCACGGGAUGGCUCUUGUUUCUCUUAGCAUCUCAGGGUCUCUUUCUCCUGGACACCAUCCUUGCGUAUUACCACUCCUUCUCUCUUCCUUAGUGGAUUUCUCACUUUUUCCCUCUUUACCAAUUCUUACUUAUGCACAACCCCCCCCCCCACCAAAACUUGAUUAGGGGAGCUCAUUUUCUCAUCAUAGAUCUUGUCUUAACCUUGGGCUGAGCUGAGUGUGAGCAUGAAGUAUGAAAACUCAGACUCCCAGAACUCUAACUCAUUUCCACUAGAAACGUUACACACGGUGAGCAAGAAUGUGUGUGAGGGAGGGACUGGAGGAGAGGAGCAUUAGAGGAAGGGGAGAGUUUUCCACUGCUGGGAGUUUAUAUGGUAUAGUAGUCCUGGAGAUAGCCUGCCAAGACUGUUCAAAAGCCUGAGAAAUUUGGAAACUCUUUGACCCUGCAAUUUGAUUUCUAAGACUGAUUCUUAAGGAAAUAACCAUGGAUUUCCCCCAAAGAUUUAGUUUUACGUACUAUUUGUAAUAUGCAAAAAAAGUUGAAGAUGACUUAAUUGUCCAGCCUUUGAGCACAGGGGCAUAUACUACAGCUAACCAAAGGAUGCUGCAGAAGACUACUAAAUCAUGUCUAGCUUUAUUGGAUCCUUGUAAAAAAUCUGGAUAACAAAAUAAAACCAGGAAGGGGGGACUUCCCUGGUGGUCCAGUGGCUGAGACCCCGUGCUCCCAAUGCAGGGGGCCAGGGUUUGAUCCCUGGUCAGGGAAUUAGAUCCCCGCAUGUGCAGUGAAGAUCCCUGCAUGCUGCAACUAAGGCCCAGCACAGGCAAAUAAAUAAAUAAAUGUUAAAAAACAAAAAACAAAGACCAGGAAUGGUGUGUUAUCUGUAGUCAUCUGGGGUGGAGAAGAGUGGGUGACUUUUUCCUUCUUUUGACAGUUAUAUUUUCUAAAAUUUUUAGAUUAAACAUACAUUUCUUUGGCACUAAGAAAAACAACAGGUGCUUUAAAAACAAACGCUAUCCACCCAGCCAGCCACAAUAAUACACAGGUUGAAAAUUUAGGUUCAGUUAAAAAUCUUCCUCCAAUAAAUUCGGAAUUGAAUUCACAUUUGUAACAUUAUAAACAAAAUACUACAGGUCAAAGGGAGACCAAGUUGGAUGCAUUUGUUAAUGGACAUCAGUUGUCCACAAGCCUUAGAUAAACACAAGACUCAGGGCCAGAACUGUUGCUUUCUUACCCUUGCUUUUCUUACCAAUAAUAGCAAGUAGCACAAGGAUUAAGUGAUUGUAGUAGAGUUUGCUUUACUUCAUCUGCAGCUCACUGUGAAAUUGCUCAGCCCCAGAAGGGGUAGGUCUGGGUGAACAGAUGGCCAGGUUGAGCCCUGGGAAGGAGGCUGUAGUUCUGGAAGGGGUUCUGAAGUGGCGGGAGUGACCAGGGGUGGGAGGAGCGAGGGUGUUUACCCUGCUGAGUGUAUUAACAUAUGUGCCUCUGAUGCUUAGCUGCCAACUUGGCUUUGUUU